This 545-nucleotide ribosomal RNA is filed under the name uncultured bacterium. RNAcentral's name for it is "partial 16S ribosomal RNA". It matches the Rfam family "Bacterial small subunit ribosomal RNA", at positions 355 to 908 of the family's 1533-position model. The record is from RNAcentral.
UGGGGAAUAUUGCACAAUGGGCGAAAGCCUGAUGCAGCGACGCCGCGUGAGGGAUGACGGCCUUCGGGUUGUAAACCUCUUUCAGCAGGGAAGAAGCGAAAGUGACGGUACCUGCAGAAGAAGCGCCGGCUAACUACGUGCCAGCAGCCGCGGUAAUACGUAGGGCGCAAGCGUUGUCCGGAAUUAUUGGGCGUAAAGAGCUCGUAGGCGGUUAGUCGCGUCUGCUGUGAAAACUCGAGGCUCAACCUCGGGCUUGCAGUGGGUACGGGCUGACUAGAGUGCGGUAGGGGUGACUGGAAUUCCUGGUGUAGCGGUGGAAUGCGCAGAUAUCAGGAGGAACACCGAUGGCGAAGGCAGGUCACUGGGCCGCAACUGACGCUGAGGAGCGAAAGCAUGGGGAGCGAACAGGAUUAGAUACCCUGGUAGUCCAUGCCGUAAAACGUUGGGCACUAGGUGUGGGGUCCAUUCCACGGAUUCCGUGCCGCAGCAAACGCAUUAAGUGCCCCGCCUGGGGAGUACGGCCGCAAGGCUAAAAACUUAAAAGG